Molecule: long non-coding RNA, 1044 nt
Organism: Drosophila miranda
Lineage: Eukaryota; Metazoa; Arthropoda; Insecta; Diptera; Drosophilidae
Exons: 2
Source: RefSeq, a predicted model, not a curated record
GUGGCUUUGUAGCGGGCCUGAAGCGACGUAGAAGAAGUCGAUAGGUUUGGCGGGAAGGAUUAAUCGGCUAAGAUUUGAAAGAAAAAUUUAAAGUCAAGACCAUGAUAUCGAUCUCGGGGCCAGGGAUACAUGCUGCCACCCUUUGACAGGCACAGGGUUACUUUGACCUGUUAACAGGCGCAGGGUUACUUUGACCUGUUAACGCGCAGAGAUGCUUUGGACAUCUGACAGGCCAGGUCGAAUUCCUUUUCCGGUUAAAGAUCUCGUCGAGAACGGGUGUGCGCGCAAACGAAUCUUUUGUAAGAAGUGCCAUCAUAGGAAAAUUCCAUUGUGAAACAACUCGACACGGUACGGAAAAGACAUACCUUUCGGUUGAUCGCGAUAUUUUGGCUCACGCACCCGCUGAUUCCCUUGCUCGUACAAGUGGAGUGACGGGGCACGGGAGUCUCGCGACAGAUCCUGCUCGGAGGAAAGACGCCACAGCUUCAAAGACCGGACGGCCUUUCGCUUAUUGCGUGGGGCAGCGACCCACGCUAUUUAAACGCACCCCAUCGUCCAGUCGCCGGCUAAGUAAGCCGCAGAGCGCAGUCUGCCGGGGGCGGGAAUAAGCAAACGCCUUCCCGCUUGGGACCCUUCGCCUGCCUGGAGCACCCUAGACAGAAUUAAACAGCAGCGCGCGCCAAGGCGCGUGAAGAAGAAGCAGGAGCAAAUCAGGGAUGCUGCAGUGCUAAAGCCACCUGCGGCCAUCGUUCUCUUGGUUGCCCGAGCGCAGACCAUGCUGCAGUGAUAAAGCCAACUGCGGCCAUCGUCUUCCUGGUUGCCCAAUCGUCGGCCAAACAGAGGCAGAAUUCUCCGACUUCGGCUGUCCUCUUCGCCCCGACUCUGUCCAGGAUUCCUCUUCCAGCAGCUUCAGGGAGCACAGUUCACCAAAUCAUAGGGUUCAGCGGAUGCUAGCCUCGUCUAUUACCAUCCUAAUGUUUAAAGUAUAAAAAUCUCAAAAAAUUUGUAUAUUCAUGAAGAAUAAUUAUCAGCCAACCUCAUUAA